CUGAAACAUCUAAGUACCCACAGGAAAAGAAAGAAAACUCGAUUCCUAAAGUAGUGGCGAGCGAAAUAGGAAGAGCCUAAACCAGAAGAAGUAAUUCAUCUGGGGUUAUGGACUACAUAAUUGAUUCAAGAGAUUUAGCAGAAUUGUUUGGAAAGACAGACCAAAGAUAGUGAAAGUCUAGUAUGCGAAAAAUCAAUUGACAUGGUAGUAUCCGGAGUAGUGCGAGACACGUGAAAUCUCGUAUGAAGAUUGGGGGACCACCCCCAAAGGCUAAAUACUACUUGGUGACCGAUAGUGAAGCAGUACCGUGAGGGAAAGGUGAAAAGAACCCCGGGAGGGGAGUGAAAAAGAACCUGAAACCCUAUGUUUACAAGCAGAUAGAGCACGUUAAGGUGCGAUAUCGUACUUUUUGUAGAACGGUCCGGCGAGUUAUUUUAUAUGGCAAGAUUAAGUACUUAAGGUACGAAGUCGAAGAGAAAUCGAGUCUGAAAAGGGCGAAAAAGUCAUAUGAAAUAGACCCGAAACCGAGUGACCUAUCCAUGGUCAGGAUGAAGCUUGAGUAAAAUCAAGUGGAGGUCCGAACUCAUAAGCGUUAAAAAGCUUCGGGAUGAACUGUGGAUAGCGGAGAAAUUCCAAUCGAACUCGGAGAUAGCUGGUUCUCCUCGAAAUAGUUUUAGGACUAGCCUUGUUUCGUAGCAUUUGGGGGUAGAGCACUGAAUGAGGUAGGGGCCAACACGGUUACUGAACUCUAUCAAACUACGAAUACCAAGUGUGUAAGAACAAGAGUCAGACUGCGGGAGCUAAGUUCCGUGGUCAAAAGGGAAAGAGCCCAGAUCGUCAAUUAAGGUCCCAAAGAUAUAGUUAAGUGGAAAACGAUGUGAUUUUGCGUAAACAACCAGGAUGUUGGCUUAGAAGCAGCCAUUCAUUUAAAGAGUGCGUAAUAGCUCACUGGUCGAGUGAAGUUGCGCGGAAAAUUACCGGGGCUAAACUAUACACCGAAAUUGCGGAUUUGCAUAGAAAUAUGUAAGUGGUAGAGGAGCAUUCUAUAGUAGGACGAAGCAUAAUCGAAAGGAUAUGUGGACGAGAUAGAAGAGAGAAUGCCGGAAUAAGUAGCGAAAGCAUGGUGAGAAUCCAUGCCAUCGAAAGUCUAAGGUUUCCUGGGGAAGGUUCGUCCGCCCAGGGUAAGUCGGGACCUAAGGUGAGGCCGAAAGGCGUAGCCGAUGGACAGCAGGUAGAAAUUCCUGCACUACCGAAAUACUUAAAAGAUGCAAGGGACACAGGAGUGGAAGGAAAGCGAGGAAGAGGAAAGACUCGUAUCGAAAGAUAUAGUGAAAAUUAAAGUAACGAAUUUCCAAGAAGCACACUGGCGAGAAAAGCUUGUAGAUAUUGUAUAGAGGUACCCGUACCGCAAACCGACACAGGUAGAUGAGGAGAGGAUCCUAAGAUGAGCGAGAGAAGCAUUGUUAAGGAACUCGGCAAACCAACCCCGUAACUUAGGGAGAAGGGGUGCCUAUGUAAAAAUAGGCCGCAGAGAAGAGGCCCAAGCAACUGUUUAACAAAAACACAGGUUUCUGCUAAAUCGAAAGAUGAAGUAUAGGAGCUGACGCCUGCCCAGUGCUGGAAGGUUAAGGGAAAAUGUAAGUACAGAAGUAUGAAGCAUAGAACCAAAGCCCCAGUGAACGGCGGCCGUAACUAUAACGGUCCUAAGGUAGCGAAAUUCCUUGUCAGGUAAGUUCUGACCCG
RNAcentral lists this ribosomal RNA (1743 nucleotides) under human gut metagenome. Its description in RNAcentral is "bacterial LSU rRNA". It matches the Rfam family "Bacterial large subunit ribosomal RNA", at positions 193 to 1990 of the family's 2925-position model. The record is from RNAcentral.